UUUGAUCCCUCUUCUCAAAAUUCUCUCUCUAUCAACUCGUUCUUGCUCUGAUUUCUCUCUAAAUAUGUUUUUCUUGGUUGUGUCCUAGAAAUGAGAGUUCAAGGAGUCCUUUUAUAGGAUUUCCCAAGCUUUCUCACCAAGCCGGGCACUUAAUGCCAGUUUCCUUAUUUGGCUUGGUCAAAGAUCACCAUCAAUGGCUUGACUUGAUAUCUUUGAUUCUUUCCUUAGCUGACUCCCGCAGAUCCGACCUUCCUUUUGUAUUAUCCCGCAAUGAUGGCUAGUCAAACUUUCCUUACUUGGAACCCGCAUUGCCCAACAGCCGAACAUUCCUUAAUUGGUCUUGAUCUCGCUUCAUGUAUGUUCUGAUCGUUCCAUGAUCAGUUUAUCAUCGCUCCGCCAGUUCCAAAUUUAUUCCAUGAGCUCACUUAAGAUCUGACACUUAGUUAAAAUACAUCUUCAUACCUAAUCUUCACGAUUACAAGUGUAUCCACUCUUAGAAAAUACUCUCCUUGUAGACAAAAACCUCUCACGAUUUAUUUCCUUCAAAUUUAAAAAUACUCUGGGAGCGGAUCGUUACAACUCUCCCCCACUUAAAAUAAAUUCGUCCUCGAAUUUUGUCUCGACCAACUACCAAAUAAACAGAAACUGAACAACUCUGGACUCGCUGCAUGUAUUUUGCUUCCACGCUCACUAACCGCUUAUUGGAUCUAAUCUUUAUGUUUCCUCCAUUUAACUUUGGUCCAGCACUAGUUGUCUGACUGGAACACUUUUAUAAUAAUGCAAUCGAAUAUGCUGACGACAAAUGCUUCUUCUAGGUUGCAUCAUGGAUCCCAAAAUACAGGGCUGACACAUAUUCUCUGGGCGGAUAUUAGUCGUUUGUCAAUCAACUUGAUCACCUGAUUUAUCACUCUAUGCACUCCAAUUAUCUGAAUCACCCUUGAUUCACAACAUUUUCAUCGCUGACUGCAAUCCUUUUGUUCCACAAUCGUCGAGAAGAAUUCGCUAUGGCACAUUCAUAAAACAACUAAAUCCAAUCAUAGAUGUAUCCAUCCAAAACACUCAUAGCUGGAUUGUACUAAUAUUAACCAACCCAUUUGCACUUUUCGUGGACCACGAAACUUUUUUUGUAGUAUGCCGUCCACCAUACGUCACAUCUUUUACCGUCAAACCCUUGAGUGGUUGAACCAACUUGCAGAUCUCUUACUAUUGGUGAUUCUUGCCCACUAAUCCAACAAGGUUUAUGAUCUUGUUGGAUUCUUUGUCCUCGACCAAUUGCAGUGGUUGUACCCUUUCCUUGACUCGACCAACACUUUCAUCGGGCAUUGCGCUCAUGAACCUAUAUCAUUUUUUUUCUGCUAGCUCUACUUGCUUAACUUCUUUGAGACAUUGCUUCCAUAGACAUUCUACCAUUACCACUCUUUACUCAACUUAUGCAUCCGAGAUGGUCCUAAGAAUAAAUCGUACUUAUUCUUGAUCAUCUGAUAGGUUCUUUCCGGGAAUACUAUUGAAAUUUUGAAUUGCUUCUUCAUUUUUCUGAGCUACCAUCUUUCCUUCUUUCUGAUACGCUACCCUAAUAUCUGUUCAAUCAAGUUAACUUGACAUUGAUCCAACACGUCCAUUCCAAGAGCUUCUUUGAACCAUUUAUCUAGUAGCACGAUCAAACCAUUAAAUUUAUUUGCACGAUCAAACCAUUAAAGUUAUUUGCACUCUCCACCAUCAUUGGAACAUCUUGAUAAAUAACAUGCGGCUUGAAAAUCUCCAUGUAUGCUGUCCGACCAAAUUUGAUCUCUUCCCUGAACCCAUUUUUCUGCGACCGACAACUUCCUGGCACACAAGGAGUGUGGCUUCUAUAGUCAAAAAAAGUUUGGCUUUCACCACCACACUACUAAGAAUUGGAUCGACUAAGUCCUUGCGUCCAGCUUGUGUAUUCAAACAAAAACCUGAUUACCAUCGGAUCCAUUUGCUUAUUAUCCAUCGAUUCUUCUUGAUCUUUCGCUCAGUUCAAGUCAACUCUCCGGUCCACCAUAAUUCUGACUGAUCCUUCCUUCGGAUCGAACAGACAGUACCGAAGUACAGUUCCAAUCGCACUCCAUCGUUGUUCCUCUGUCGUACUGCUGAUACCAGUCUAGUCUAAGACCAUAGGCCUUUAGAAAAGACUCAUGAUCCCUCAUCAGACCCGCGGUAUGCAUCAGCAUCAUCAAGUAUACUUUGCGACCCAACAGUACAUGGUUCCACCAUGCGUAGAUUAAGCUGGUACAUCCUUAUCCAUGGUUCGCGCUUGCUUCAGCUGCCAUGGCCAAAGACGGAUCGGUUCUUCCUAUUAACCCCUUGCUUCGUAUCUUCGAACCAGAACCCGACACAUCUCAGACUAUCAAUAAGACCACCGCUGAACUCUAGGGUAGUCGGAGAAAGUAUCCAAUCAAUCCUCCUUGCCGAUCUCAGUCCCUCUCCGUCCGUUUCUCCCUUUCUCUCUCGGUUUUCUCUGUUUCCGUCCAGUAUCGCCUCCCCCUUUCUGAUCCGCGGGAAUCCCACUAAAAAUGGGAGUUGGCGGUUUUUUUUUCUUUCCCAUAACCGCUCCCGCGCCCAAUCCCAAAUCAGUAACCGUCCUUGAUAGUUUUUAUUAACUCCCCGAACAGUUUCUUUCUCGAUCGGGCGGUCAGGUAACUGUUCCAUAACUACUUGGCAGUUCCAGCCCCAUAAACCGUCCCAGUCAGUUAAGUAGUUCAGUAACCACACGGAACCGUCCUGUAUCUGCUUCGGUAACUGCUUAGUAACCGCUAGGUAACCGUCAGAUAACUGUUCCCGCCGUUUUACUUAGCUUAUCAGUACACGUUCAGCUCGGUAUCCAUUCCCACCAUAACAUAUACCAGUAAGUCGUAUAUAAACUAACUUUUCUCGAAAGAAAAUUCCAACUGCUUUGUCUGAAUCCGACCAGCUCAGUCCGACAAGCUCAACUGCUAUGUCUGGACCCACAGUAUUGUCUUAAUCCGACCAGUACUAUCCAGACGACAUGUCAUACGUGUCAGGUUCGACUGAUCAGUCAAACUAACACUCGGCCUUGGACUGAUCCAGCUCAGACUGCAGGAUGGGGAUGCUACAAGCCCAGUCAAUAACCAUCAAUCCAUGCCGACUAUUGCUUCGUACAUUCUAUCAUCAUAUCUACUCAUUCCCUAACGUUGACAUAUCUUACUCCAUCACGCACGACUUCAAGCAUAUUACUUUUGUUGACUGAACCAACCUGAUGCUUUCCUUGCCUACCCAUUGAAAAAUCCGACAGUCGACACUUUGUAUCCUUCAUUUGACUUAAGUUAGUUUUCACUAACUUCCUGCAAACUCUUUAACACAAUUUUGCUUAGCCAUUUACUAAGCAGUCCAAUCAUAAAUACAUAACAAGAAAUAUCUGAGCAAAAUCAUACCACACAUCCUUCGCACGAGACAUAGACCAUCGGUUCCUUUCCACCCUUACCAACAAAUCCCAUUUUCGAAAAAAACAGCCAGCCAAGACAGAACUGGCUGGCCAACCCCGCUCUGAUACCAAUUGAAACACCCCGACCAGGAAAUCUUAAAAAAAACCUUGAAAAAUUCCAAGUAAAAAUUCAGGAAAUUUUUCAAGAAUAAACUCAAACAAAACUUCAACUUUAUUAAUAAAUCCGAGAAAAUAAUGUAGGGUAAUAGUAUAUAAUUCAUAAAACACCUAAUAGAAAUCCCAAGUUUGUAAGAAAAUAAAACCCGCCCGAUGGUCUUCAUUGUCCCGCGCUCCGGUCCAAUCAACUACUCGUCACCUGCAUCACAAAAGGAGGCAUGAGCAUACAAAAGUACUCAGUGAGGACGCUCAAUACCGCCCAAUAUAGCCCAAUAAGCAAUACUAAAUCAAACUAACACCCUAGCAUCCGGUUCUAUCAUUCCCUUACGUAACUAGUUAAAUCCUUUUCAUUUCUUAACCUUUCGACCCGAAUGCCGAUAAUCCUGCGGCCGAAGCCAAACCUGCGGCCGAAGCCAAACCUGCGCCGAAGCCAAACCUGCGGCCGAAGCCAAACAUGCGGCAGUAGCCAACCUGUGACCCGUCGGUCAAUUACCUUUCCUUAAUCAUUUUUCCUUAACCUUUUUCCUUAACCUUUUCCUUACAUUAACUCAAUUCAUUUAUUCUUUCCUUAAACGCAUUAUAACUUUCUGACGUAGGUUCUCAAGAUCAAACAUUCAUUUCUCACAUAAACAUCCUGACAUAACUCAAUAAUCCAUCCCGCAAAUUAAUAGCAUGCAUUUCUCAAGAACCCGAUGAACAAACUUUCCUUAAACAAUUCCUAUCAUAUAUUUCCCUAUGAACACGAAGAACGAACUUUCCAUAAACAAUUCAUAUCAUACAUUUCCCUAUGAACACGAUGAACGAACUUUCCAUAAACAAUUCUAUCCAAGCAUAAACACAAUCAUAUUGAAUCAAAACAGGACAAAUAGUUCUUAUUGGACUAUCACGAAUCACGUCCUCACCUUAGCUGAAUCUCUAGGACUCGAAGACUCUGAACUUCCUAGCGUUUCUGACGAAGAACUCCUUAGCUCCUCCUCGUUUGAUCCCUCUUCUCAAACUUCUCUCUCUACCAACUCGUUCUUGCUCUGACUUCUCUUUAAAUAUGUUUUUCUUGGUUGUGUCUUAGAAAUGAGAGUUCAAGGAGUCCUUUUAUAGGAUUUCCCAAGCUUUCUCACCAACUCAGGCACUUAAUGCCAGUUUCCUUAUUUGGCUUGGUCAAAGAUCACCAUCAAUGGCCUGACUUGAUAUCUUUGAUUCUUUCCUUAGCUGACUCCCGCAGAUCCAACCUUCCUUUUGUAUUAUCCCGCAAUGAUGGCUAGUCUAACUUUCCUUACUUGGAACCCGCAUUGCCCAACAGCCGAACAUUCCUUAAUUGGUCUUGAUCUCGCUUCAUGUAUGUUCUGAUCGUUCCAUGAUCAGUUUAUC
This 4948-nucleotide long non-coding RNA is filed under the name Brassica napus (rape). RNAcentral describes it as "long non-coding RNA (BNAP_LNC009637)". The record is from RNAcentral. Lineage: Eukaryota; Viridiplantae; Streptophyta; Magnoliopsida; Brassicales; Brassicaceae.